CACGUUGUGCUAAAGAGAAUUUAUUCGUCUUCAAUCAGGAGAGUAUUACAUUUUAAUUAUUUUUAAUUGAUUAAUUUUGAUUUUAUUGAAUUCAUAUACUUUUGUUAAUUCUAUUUAUUUAUUUUUUUUCCUUAUGUUGAACAUGAUACAGGUUGUGAAGAUGAAAUCCGAAAUUGAAGAAAGAACUCCUACAAACUGGUUCAUAAUAUUCAUCACGCAGUCCAAGUUCUUCUAAAACAACGGUUUUUAUUUCAAUAUUUUUUCAGCCUUGAUUGCAUAAACCUUCACCAUAAUGCAUGACCCAACUUUACGUUUUAUGAAUUUUAGAUUCUGCAUCAAUUGUUUAUGCAUUAUAUCCAUAAUAUUGCUAUUAUGUGAAUUGAAUAUGUGUGAAUAAGGAAGAAAAAGAAAAGAGAAAAGGAUGUUGAAACCCUAGAAUUCGUAUUGGGCUUGAAAACCUAGUCUGUCUUUGACUAGGCCUUGAUUUCAUAUGGCUAGCAUGCAGCUUGCGCUAAGCCACUAACCUACUAAUUACGUCGUCGGGCUAAGCCAAGCCGGCUCCAAUUUGGGCCUAGAAGCAUGACAAUUCUGUUUUUGUUUGGCCCGACCCAAAAACCCAGCACUUGAGUACCUAACUCGCGCCAGAGCUGCGCCGAGCCAUCGUGCCGAAGUCGUUGACCGUUCCAAACCCUAAUGUGCAAAAGCAACGUGCUCACUGAGAUUGGGUCGCUGAUCGGAUCAUUUUUAUAUAUAUUUUUACUUCAAAUUCACUCGUCUUUUCUUAGUUAGUUCCUUAUAUUUUUGAGCUAUUUACGUUAUUUUUGUGUUUAUAGGAUUUGUUAUGCAAAGAAAAUAAAAAUGGCACAAGUGAAAUUUUAUGUAAUAAAUUCGUCAAAACUAACAUCUCAUUCAUCCUUUCGACUAAGCAAAUAAAAAAAUAAUAAUAAUAAAUAUAUAAGCAGCAUGAUGUGGCAAGGCCACAAAUCAAAUGAACCGGAUAUUUAAUAUGGAAAAGGGUUAGUGAAAUGGGAUUAGUAGUGGAAUGGUGGGAACUUGCUUUUUGUUAAAAGCAACGGACAAGAGUUGUUGUGGGGGUUGAAAGGAGAAAAGAAAGCAGCAUUUAAAGAGUAUAAAAAAUGAUCAUUCUGCAUGUGCUUAUUGGAGACUUCUGUUAUUCUAACAUAUAUUGAAAUUUCUUGUAGGGUCAAUUUAAAAUAAUUCAAAUGUCUGGGACGUUUAUGAUACAUGACAAGAAAGUGCAGCAAGUGAGAGGGCAUGAGAAAAACAGAAGCACGGAAACAGAACAAGCGUCGGUGGAAGGGAGGAUAGCUGCCUUUGGCAGCUCAGAGGAAAGAAGGAUAAAAUAAGAGGGAUGGCAGACAAGGAAAGGUGGAUGGGAGACUGGCGGAAAAAAAAGAUAAAAUAUAAGAAGGGGGGAGAGAAAGGCUGCCAGAAAGGGCAGCAUAAAGGAGGGCUGUUUGGGACGUGCGAAGGGGAGUGAGCCUCGGGAGGAGAACAGAAGUCAGAGGGGUCUUGGAGCGGGAAAAAGGGGCUGCCCUUUGGGCAGCUCGCAGAGAGGAGGCGCUGCCUUUGGCAGCGAGAGAGGUCAGAAAAGAAGCUGAAAAAAAAGAGAAAAAAAAAAUAAAGAGCUGCCUUGGGCAGCUGGAGUGAGACGGGAGUGAGAGACCAGGAGAAGUCAGAGGGAAAGCAGGCGCAGAGAUGGAGGAAGCCAACGCAGUCUGGGAAAUAACAAAGCUGACUUGGCAGCGCAGAAAUAAAAAAAACAGCGCAAGCUGCACAGGGAGAGCACGGACAGAAACAGAAGCAGCAAGCUUCUCCUCGAUUAAAACUUUCCAAACUUCUAUUUUAUUUCUGUUUUAAUAAUGUGUAACUAAAUUUAUUUUGGCUAGAGGUUAAUUCAAAGCCAUGAAUAUAUUUGUAAUAUGAAUUGAUUACCUUCAGUUGUGAUUUCUGAGUUGUGAUUUAAUUUGCUUAACUGCUUGAUUGAUAACUUAUUUUUGUAUGUCGAUUAAGGAUGCAUACUUAAUUUACAUGCAUGAAUUUGAUGCUAGAAUAUAAGUGAAUUUCACCUAAUCGUUAUGAACUUAUAUUCACAAGUAGUGAAGGUUGCUAGUCACAAUCACGUUAAGUAAAUUCUUGGCAUAAGUUUCAUGCAAAUCAUAGUAACGAGUGUCUCGUCAAUGCUUAUGUUUUUCAUAGAACUUAAUGAUUCUUGC
This 2237-nucleotide long non-coding RNA is filed under the name Malus domestica (apple). RNAcentral's name for it is "long non-coding RNA (MDOM_LNC014075)". Lineage: Eukaryota; Viridiplantae; Streptophyta; Magnoliopsida; Rosales; Rosaceae. The record is from RNAcentral.